CCAGACUCCUACGGGAGGCAGCAGUGAGGAAUAUUGGACAAUGGUCGGAAGACUGAUCCAGCCAUGCCGCGUGCAGGAUGAAGGUCUUAUGGAUUGUAAACUGCUUUUGUAAGGGAAGAAUAAGGGCUACGCGUAGUUUGAUGACGGUACCUUACGAAUAAGCAUCGGCUAACUCCGUGCCAGCAGCCGCGGUAAUACGGAGGAUGCGAGCGUUAUCCGGAAUCAUUGGGUUUAAAGGGUCUGUAGGCGGGCUGGUAAGUCAGAGGUGAAAGCGCUUAGCUCAACUAAGCAACUGCCUUUGAAACUGUUGGUCUUGAAUGGUUGUGAAGUAGUUGGAAUGUGUAGUGUAGCGGUGAAAUGCUUAGAUAUUACACAGAACACCGAUAGCGAAGGCAUAUUACUAACAAUUAAUUGACGCUGAUGGACGAAAGCGUGGGGAGCGAACAGGAUUAGAUACCCUGGUAGUCCACGCUGUAAACGAUGGAUACUAGCUGUUUGGUUUAAGGAUUGAGUGGCUAAGCGAAAGUGAUAAGUAUCCCACCUGGGGAGUACGUUCGCAAGAAUGAAACUCAAAGGAAUUGACGGGGGCCCGCACAAGAAGGGCGAAU
This 608-nucleotide ribosomal RNA is filed under the name uncultured bacterium. RNAcentral describes it as "bacterial SSU rRNA". It matches the Rfam family "Bacterial small subunit ribosomal RNA", at positions 331 to 939 of the family's 1533-position model. The record is from RNAcentral.